UGGUGUCUGGAUUAACUGAAAACUGGGUAUU
Molecule: non-coding RNA, 31 nt
Filed under: Mus musculus (house mouse)
Lineage: Eukaryota; Metazoa; Chordata; Mammalia; Rodentia; Muridae
Source: RNAcentral